This 72-nucleotide transfer RNA is filed under the name Candidatus Uhrbacteria bacterium. Its description in RNAcentral is "tRNA-Glu". It matches the Rfam family "tRNA". From Rfam's summary of the family: Transfer RNA (tRNA) molecules are approximately 80 nucleotides in length. Their secondary structure includes four short double-helical elements and three loops (D, anti-codon, and T loops). Further hydrogen bonds mediate the characteristic L-shaped molecular structure. tRNAs have two regions of fundamental functional importance: the anti-codon, which is responsible for specific mRNA codon recognition, and the 3' end, to which the tRNAs corresponding amino acid is attached (by aminoacyl-tRNA synthetases). tRNAs cope with the degeneracy of the genetic code in two manners: having more than one tRNA (with a specific anti-codon) for a particular amino acid; and 'wobble' base-pairing, i.e. permitting non-standard base-pairing at the 3rd anti-codon position. Lineage: Bacteria; Candidatus Uhriibacteriota. The record is from RNAcentral.
GCCAGCAUCAUCUAGUGGCUAGGAUACCUGAUUCUCAAUCAGGCAACGCGGGUUCGAGUCCCGCUGCUGGCU